This 374-nucleotide long non-coding RNA is filed under the name Mytilus galloprovincialis (Mediterranean mussel). Lineage: Eukaryota; Metazoa; Mollusca; Bivalvia; Mytilida; Mytilidae. The record is from RNAcentral.
UGGGGGAGGAGUGGAGGUUGGGUAGUUUUUGUUUGAAUCUUUCAUAGAUCAGGAUCAUGCACAGCUAAGGUGUGCAUUAACUACCUCAGAUAUACUGCAAAGUUCAAAUGUACUCUUAACUGAUCCUAGACUUUGAAAGGGGUGUAAUUCCAUAAAAUAAAAAUAAACAGCUGCGCCAUGAGCGCAUGUUACGCCCGUCGCUUUUUCAAAGAAUAAUAAAAGUUUAAUAACUUCUCAAUGUCAUAUCACAAAUUCAUGAAAAACUAAUGGGAGGUUAUGUUAAUAGAUAUAAACCUGGCGUCACCAAAGUUUCAUAACUGCUCAAAGCAUUGUCUGAAAACUGGAAUAUUCCCCCUUUUUAUGAUUAAAAUCAC